UGGUCAAGCUACAAAGGGCUCACGGCGGAUACCUUGGCACACAGAGGCGAUGAAGGACGUGGUUACCUGCGAUAAGUCUCGGGGAGCUGGAAACACGCUUUGAUCCGGGAAUUUCCGAAUGGGGCAACCCCUUGUACGGCCAGCUGAAUCCAUAGGCUGGCGCGAGCCAACCCAGCGAACUGAAACAUCUUAGUAGCUGGAGGAAAGAAA
RNAcentral lists this ribosomal RNA (210 nucleotides) under uncultured Synechococcus sp. RNAcentral describes it as "partial 23S ribosomal RNA". It matches the Rfam family "Bacterial large subunit ribosomal RNA", at positions 1 to 223 of the family's 2925-position model. Lineage: Bacteria; Bacillati; Cyanobacteriota; Cyanophyceae; Synechococcales; Synechococcaceae. The record is from RNAcentral.